RNAcentral lists this ribosomal RNA (485 nucleotides) under Candidatus Phytoplasma solani. RNAcentral's name for it is "bacterial SSU rRNA". It matches the Rfam family "Bacterial small subunit ribosomal RNA", at positions 749 to 1244 of the family's 1533-position model. Lineage: Bacteria; Bacillati; Mycoplasmatota; Mollicutes; Acholeplasmatales; Acholeplasmataceae. The record is from RNAcentral.
AGGCACGAAAGCGUGGGGAGCAAACAGGAUUAGAUACCCUGGUAGUCCACGCCCUAAACGAUGAGUACUAAACAAUUGGAUAAAACCAGUGUUGAAGUUAACACAUUAAGUACUCCGCCUGAGUAGUACGUACGCAAGUAUGAAACUUAAAGGAAUUGACGGGACUCCGCACAAGCGGUGGAUCAUGUUGUUUAAUUCGAAGGUACCCGAAAAACCUCACCAGGUCUUGACAUGCUUUUGCAAAGCUGUAGAAAUACAGUGGAGGUUAUCAGAAGCACAGGUGGUGCAUGGUUGUCGUCAGCUCGUGUCGUGAGAUGUUGGGUUAAGUCCCGCAACGAGCGCAACCCUUGUUGUUAAUUGCCAUCAUUAAGUUGGGGACUUUAGCAAGACUGCCAAUGAUAAAUUGGAGGAAGGUGGGGACGACGUCAAAUCAUCAUGCCCCUUAUGACCUGGGCUACAAACGUGAUACAAUGGCUGUUACAAGG